AUGGUGAAUGAACCAUGGAUAUCUCUAGAGAUAUAUAUGCCUACACCCUUGUCUUCAAGUGUGCUACAUGGGCUAGCUGGACCACCACAACCAGCCCCAGUCGCCUCUUAUCUGGUCAGUCAAAUUGUCAGGGCAGAAUUUUAUGUGAUUUACUUGCCGACGUCACUUAUCUCUUCCUCCGUCAAGGCUAACACGUACCUUUUGAGUAUCUCUCAAGUUUCUAGCCUGGAUUCUGGGAAAGCUGUUAGAUGGGUAUCAAAGGCUCUCUUGAUGGACUUAGGAACAAAUUUGCUAGAUAUGGUAGGAUUUGAAUAG
This 315-nucleotide ribosomal RNA is filed under the name Triticum aestivum (bread wheat). RNAcentral describes it as "partial small subunit ribosomal RNA". Lineage: Eukaryota; Viridiplantae; Streptophyta; Magnoliopsida; Poales; Poaceae. The record is from RNAcentral.